Molecule: transfer RNA, 68 nt
Filed under: Himacerus apterus
Lineage: Eukaryota; Metazoa; Arthropoda; Insecta; Hemiptera; Nabidae
Description: tRNA-Phe
Source: RNAcentral
GUUAGAAUAGCUUAAUGAUUAAAGUAUAAUAUUGAAGAUAUUAAGAUAAGUAAAAUACUUUUCUAAUA